GAUGAACGCUGGCGGCGUGCCUAAUACAUGCAAGUCGAGCGAAGCGGGGACGGGGGAGUAACACGUGGAUAACCUCCUAUAAGACUGGGAUAAAUUCGGGAAACAGGAGCUAAAAAGGAAACUUAUAGAUGGAUCCGCGCUGCAUUAGCUAGUUGGUAAUGAAACGGCUUACCAAGGCAACGAUGCAUAGCCGACCUGGGAGGGUGAUCGGCCACACUGGAACUUAGGCACGGUCCAGACUCCUACGUGAGGCAGCAGUAGGGAAUCUUCCUCAAUUGUCGAAAGCCUGACGGAGCAACGCCGCUUGAGUGAUGAAGGUCUUCGGAUCGGAAAACUCUGUUAUUAGGGAAGCGGUACCUAAUCAGAAAGCCACGGCUAACUACGUGCCAGCAGCCGCGGUAAUUC
This 405-nucleotide ribosomal RNA is filed under the name uncultured bacterium. RNAcentral describes it as "partial 16S ribosomal RNA". It matches the Rfam family "Bacterial small subunit ribosomal RNA", at positions 28 to 526 of the family's 1533-position model. The record is from RNAcentral.